Molecule: unclassified non-coding RNA, 157 nt
Filed under: uncultured Venturiales
Lineage: Eukaryota; Fungi; Ascomycota; Dothideomycetes
Description: sequence contains ITS2
Source: RNAcentral
CGACCCUCAAGCAUAGCUUGGUGUUGGGUAUGGUCCCGGGGGGACCUACUCGUAACUCGUAGGCGGCCACCGCCCGCACCCCCAGCGUAGCAAGCUCACGCGUUCGCUCGGGGACGGUGUGUCUGGCCCGCCAGGCAAAACCCAAACCCUUCCCAAG